Molecule: ribosomal RNA, 398 nt
Filed under: Staphylococcus sp. Fugerm2
Lineage: Bacteria; Bacillati; Bacillota; Bacilli; Caryophanales; Staphylococcaceae
Description: partial 16S ribosomal RNA
Rfam family: Bacterial small subunit ribosomal RNA
Source: RNAcentral
GAGUGAUGAAGGUCUUCGGAUCGUANACUCUGUUAUUAGGGAAGAACAAAUGUGUAAGUAACUAUGCACGUCUUGACGGUACCUAAUCAGAAAGCCACGGCUAACUACGUGCCAGCAGCCGCGGUAAUACGUAGGUGGCAAGCGUUAUCCGGAAUUAUUGGGCGUAAAGCGCGCGUAGGCGGUUUCUUAAGUCUGAUGUGAAAGCCCACGGCUCAACCGUGGAGGGUCAUUGGAAACUGGUAAACUUGAGUGCAGAAGAUGAAAGUGGAAUUCCAUGUGUAUNGNNGAAAUGCGCANAUAUUUGGAGGAACACCAGUGGCNAAGGCGACUUUCUGGUCUGUAACUGACGCUGAUGUGCGAAUGCGUGGGGAUCAAACNGGAUUAAAUACCCUGNUAAU